GCAGGCUGGGAGUACAUAAAUCAGUCUGGGUUGUGUUCCCAAGCAAAAGGCCCAAAUGGGACAGAGCAGGAACCUAUUUGAGAAAACCAGAGGCGUACUGAACCCAGCUUCAUUGACAGAAUGAAAACAGCGGAAAAAAUGAGAGCCAUCACUAAUGAGGAGCAAACAUUGGGAAUAUGUUACAGAAACUGCCAGAAGGCCAAUAACAUCCUGGGUUCCAUCAGAAGAUGAGUGGCCAGCAGGGUGAGGGAGGUGAAUGUGUCCCUCUACUCUGCCCUCAUGAGGCCCCAGCUGGAGAAUUGUGUCCAGGUCUGGGGCAUUCAACACAGGAAAGAUGUGGAGCUGUUGGAAAGGGUCCAGAGGAGGGCCAUGAAGAUGAUCGGAAGACUGGAGCACCUCGCCUACAAAGACAGGAUGAUGGAGACCUCACUGCAGCCUUCCAGUAUUUAAAGGGAGUUUGUAAAUGUUUUUGUGCCUUCAUCUUAUUUAGACAAGAAAUGCAUCGUCAGUGUUCAGCCUAGUGCAAGCUAAAGGAUGUAAUGCAGAAAGUUGAAAAAGUGCAUGGUGGACAGCUGGUUCAGCUUUUUAAAGCUAUUUUCAUCUCCUUAUGAUGCUUGCAUUAUGGUGUAUGGCUGUCAUGAGCAUACAGCCUGUGAACACGUGAUCUGCCCUAGGACCUGCAGGAGCUGGAGGAGGCUUCUUGGGCACUGUGUGAUUCAUGUAGAUGCCCAUGUGAACCACUAACCUGGCUGGGGAGAGGAGGGAGCUCCACCUGCACCAUGUCAGCAUCAGCAGGAGUAGGCAGAGCUGAGAUGGAGGGACUGGAUGGAAGGAGAUGUCAGGACAGCAGGCAACUUCUGCUAGCCACACAAAUCACCACACAAAUCACCCCCACAUUCAAUCAGCAGACUCCAAAGAAUGUGGAGAAAGCCUGCUGGAAAUUUGGGGAUCUACACUACUCUUGGGGAUGGCUUUUCUGACAGAGGUGAGUCUACAGCAAGGUACAAUUUGGAAGCUACUUGUGUAGACACAAUGGCAUCACUUCUUUCUUUUUUUCCCCCACAGUGCUCAAUACUGUUUUCCAUGCUAUCAGCAUUAAACAGUCUGGGUUAAUUUCCCAGUGCUGAGGUUUCUCACCACAAUUCCUAUAUUUAUCCAGAGAGAAAAUGGGGCAAUGAUCUCAUAGGAGGAAAACAAAAGAGCCUGUUUCUCUCCAGAGUAAGUAGGUCAAUGCCAUGAGGUGAGAUGGAAGUGAGGCCCAUGGUGCUCUUGGAGUAGAUGGAGGAGAGUGAGCAGGCAGCAGAGCUGCUCAGAGGAGAGACAAGACACUUUGGUGAUGGUGUUCCAACAAGCUGGCAGCAAAGGUGAGUAUGAAGGGGUUUCACAAUGCAAACAUUGUUCCUGUGAAGAGGUAAAGUCCAACAAGAACCCCAUCUCCAUUGUCUUCAUGCAGAGUGGGGAGGCAGGAGGGCUGCUGAUCCCAGUGCCGGACUGGGAGCCAGAAGACACAGCUGCAGUCCCUCACGAGUGCCUGGAAGUUACCUAACCUUCCUCUUUCCUCAUUUGUUUAAUAGGGUUAAUAAACACACUCUGCCCCACA
Long non-coding RNA from Tympanuchus pallidicinctus (lesser prairie-chicken), 1600 nucleotides. RefSeq lists it as uncharacterized. The record is from RefSeq and is a predicted model, not a curated record. NCBI's taxonomy places the organism in Eukaryota, Metazoa, Chordata, Aves, Galliformes, Phasianidae. The transcript has 5 exons.